Molecule: ribosomal RNA, 253 nt
Filed under: uncultured bacterium
Lineage: Bacteria
Description: partial 16S ribosomal RNA
Rfam family: Bacterial small subunit ribosomal RNA
Source: RNAcentral
UACGAAGGGGGCGAGCGUUGUUCGGAAUUACUGGGCGUAAAGCGCGCGUAGGCGGCUUUGUAAGUUAGAGGUGAAAGCCCGGAGCUCAACUCCGGAACUGCCUUUAAAACUGCAUCGCUUGAAUCCAGGAGAGGUGAGUGGAAUUCCGAGUGUAGAGGUGAAAUUCGUAGAUAUUCGGAAGAACACCAGUGGCGAAGGCGGCUCACUGGACUGGUAUUGACGCUGAGGUGCGAAAGCGUGGGGAGCAAACAGG